Molecule: unclassified non-coding RNA, 520 nt
Filed under: uncultured Glomus
Lineage: Eukaryota; Fungi; Glomeromycota; Glomeromycetes; Glomerales; Glomeraceae
Description: SSU rRNA
Rfam family: Eukaryotic small subunit ribosomal RNA
Source: RNAcentral
AGCAGCCGCGGUAAUUCCAGCUCCAAUAGCGUAUAUUAAAGUUGUUGCAGUUAAAAAGCUCGUAGUUGAAUUUCGGGAUUAAUAUGUCGGUCGUGCCUUCGGUACGUACUGGUAUCAUUGGUCUCUCCUUUCUGACGAACCAUGAUGUUAUUAAUUUGGUGUUAUGGGGAGUUAGGACUGUUAACUUUGAAAAAAUUAGAGUGUUUAAAGCAGGCUUUAGCUUGAAUACAUUAGCAUGGAAUAAUGAAAUAGGACGUUCGAACCUAUUUUGUUGGUUUCUAGGAUCAACGUAAUGAUUAAUAGGGAUAGUUGGGGGCAUUAGUAUUCAAUUGUCAGAGGUGAAAUUCUUGGAUUUAUUGAAGACUAACUACUGCGAAAGCAUUUGCCAAGGAUGUUUUCAUUAAUCAAGAACGAAAGUUAGGGGAUCGAAGACGAUCAGAUACCGUCGUAGUCUUAACCAUAAACUAUGCCGACUAGGGAUCGGAUGAUGUUAAUUUUUAAUGACUCAUUCGGCGCCUUA